Molecule: ribosomal RNA, 497 nt
Filed under: uncultured bacterium
Lineage: Bacteria
Description: partial 16S ribosomal RNA
Rfam family: Bacterial small subunit ribosomal RNA
Source: RNAcentral
GAUGAACGCUGGCGGCGUGCCUAAUACAUGCAAGUCGAGCGAACAGACGCGGCGCUUGCUUCUCUCACGUUAGCCGCGGACGUGUGAGUAACACGUGGAUCACCUACCUAUCUUUCUGAUAUCAUUUCGGAAAUCCGGCUCUAAUCCCGUAUAAUCUCCUGCACCGCAUUGUUCAAUAGUGAAAGACGGUCUUUCUGUCACUUAUCGCUGCAUCCGCGCUGCAUUAGCUAGUUGGUAAGGUAACGGCUUACCAAGGCAACGAUGCGUAGCCGACCUGAGAGGGGGAUAGGCCACAUGAGAACGGGACCAGGGACAAGAGGACUACGGGACGCAGCAGUAGGGAAUCUUCGGCAAUGGGCGAAAGCAUGACGGAGCAACGCCGCGUGAGUGAUGAAGGUCUUCGGAGCGUAAAAAUCUGUUAUGAGGGAAGAACAGAUGUGUAAGUAACUGUGCACAGCUUGACGGUAACUAAUAAGAAAGCCACGGCUAACUACGUG